Tupaia belangeri chinensis (Chinese tree shrew) is the source of this 815-nucleotide long non-coding RNA. RefSeq lists it as uncharacterized. Lineage: Eukaryota; Metazoa; Chordata; Mammalia; Scandentia; Tupaiidae. The transcript is spliced from 5 exons. The record is from RefSeq and is a predicted model, not a curated record.
GUCAAAGAAACACAGAAGCCUUUUGGGGAAGAGGAGGCAGGUUCAUUAAUGGAGAGCCAAGGAAUAUUGUUUCCAUGCUGGUGAAGGUGGUACUUGCUAUACUGCUGAGAUGGUCAGACAUUCCAUAAGAUACACCAGUGGUUUUACAGAUGAAGAAGCAGGGAAGACAAGGUGGAGCCUUCUGAUGCCACAGAGUCAUCUGAAUCUUGCUCUCAUGUGAACUUGGUGCUUGUGAAUUUCCAUUGAGCUUAGGACCACUGAGCUGUUGGAUCAUUCACCAUAGCCUGGUCAAUUUGCCCUUGUUGAAUACUGGCAAUUUUCUUGGAAACACAGAGGCCCGAGAAAGAUGUGAAGUGGAAUCCCUGUCACCAGAUAGAACCGUAGAAUGACUCCUCUGAGAACAAAGUAAUUGUUGACUUCAAAGAACCCCGAGGAAGUUCAGCGAUGGAAAGAAUCUGGCUAGCAACCGGGUGAAUCAAAUCGAGCUUUUCUUUCUAUCACUAGUGUGUGUGCAUGUGUGCGGAAAGCACGUAAACAUGUCUACAACACUUAGCUCACUACCUGCAGUACUUCUCAAUGUUAAAAAUGGCUUGGAGAAUGGGAAUGCCCUACGUAUUUAGUAACCACUACAAAGAAGCCUUAGGUUGUCCCAUAUCUAGGCUACCCCUGGACGGUGCUAAUUACGGACACCAGUGAGUCUGAGACCUAGCUGGGCCUCAGAAUCAUGUGGGGAGUUUUAAAAGUAUAUGUUCUUGCUUACCACAGUCCUAUUGAAUCAGACCCUCCAGGCAGAGAGCUGGCAAAUAUACUUAAGA